Molecule: long non-coding RNA, 1033 nt
Organism: Ziziphus jujuba (common jujube)
Lineage: Eukaryota; Viridiplantae; Streptophyta; Magnoliopsida; Rosales; Rhamnaceae
Exons: 3
Source: RefSeq, a predicted model, not a curated record
AGUACCCUUUUGAGAUAUUAAAAACAAAUUAAGCAAAAAGUCCAUUGUUCCCUUCUCUGUUUUUUUCUUUCUUUCACUUCCCUUCGAGUUAUACUCCUUCAAAAUCUUCGCCAACUCUUCUCUUCUCCUUCCUCAUCCUUCCCCCAGAAACACUAGAUUUAGGGUUAGGGUUUGAGUUUUGAAUUUCCGAUUCAAACGUAAUCGACGACGGUGUCUAAGUAUUCAAAUGUGUGAGCAUUAGACGCUGAACUGAAGCGGUCAGAUCCCAAACAAAAUAAAAACAGAGAGAGAGAGAGAGAGAGGAAACGAUGAAGUAAUGGCGAGCAAGGAAGAGAGCGCAGUGAAGGAGACUGCUCUUGCCAAUCUUAUUGUAAGGUUUUUUGUCAUAGCUUUAAAAAAUGACCCACUGUGUUUUCAAUUUUGUUUUCAGUUAGGUAUUUACGCUAAUCUGAUCAUAUACCAAGAUAAUUCCUUGCAAGCAGUAUGGUCAAACAAUGAAGGUGAUCGAAGACUUAUUAGGGUGGAUAUUGUUAAUUGAGGAUUUCAAUAUUUGACCCUCGUCUUGGAAUGGAUGGCAGUGAUGAGAAUUCAAUUGUAAAGUGGUAUCUGAGAUGAUGUGAGAGGUGUAGAAUAAGGCAGCAACACAAACAUGGAAAAGUUUGAAGUUUCUAUUUAACGUGAUUGCAUGCCAGCAGCAAUACAAUAUGUUGGAAUGUUUAACAUCCUGAACAGCUCAUAUCUGGUAGCUAGAUCAUUCUUUUGAAGUUAGUGAAGAGCAAUAAUUUUAUGGAAAGCCAGCUUUCCUACUUGUAUAUAUGUUUAUAAUUUUCCAAAGAUGAAGUGUUGAUAAUGACCCUGCAUCUUUUUUACUGUGCCUUAACGAUGAGUUGUUACCACUCUUAGUAAAAUAAUGAGCACUAGUGUAGUUAUGAUUCAUGUCCAAGUAGUAUUUGUACCUUUUCAAUGAUGUUAUUGUAUAAUACUUCUGUACAUUAUAAGCAAAUAAUGGAAGCUCACUUUAAUAUGUUUUCUA